CCGCCGCGCCGCGUCACUACGUGCCGCGCGCGCCCUGUCGCUCGUCGCGCUCCCGCGACCAGUAGGCGUGCCGAGGGUGACUCGACGACGGAGAGCCGCGUGUGAGGGUUUAACGCCGCGCGUCGGGGAGAGGCAUAUCACGACGCAGUCCCCGCAACCCCCGGGGUGAGUCCGGAAGGAGAGGAGUCUCUCAUCAUCCCCGAGCGAGCAGGAUGUCUCUCGCGAGAUGCGAGUAGGUCGCGGCUGCGCUCGCGGUGGACGCGUUAACUCGGUGUGGCGAGUGCGAGGAUGCAACCGUGAUUUCGGCGAGUCCGGUAAACGAUGAUCUUCUGGAUCUGUUUUCUUCGUUUUUCCUGUGCCUGGGAUAGACACUGACGAUAUGGAUACAAUAUGGCUUCGGUACACUGGCAUGCCUCUGGGAAUAGUUUUCUCUCGCCAGUCUUCGUGUUACUCUUGUUGCUCUGUCCGCACAACUCUACAGCCCGCGAGGUAAUUGACGCACCGCCGCCGCAACGAGACUACGUUCCAUCACUGCCACCACCACCGGGAGGUCUCACCACUGCCAGAACACCAAAGUGUGACCAAAAGUUCGUAAGCACUCCUAACGGGCCGUUGAAUGGGUCCUUCCAUGCACCGACGUUGAUCAACCCCGAGGGCGAGCCGCGACAGUGCGUUUUCACGUUCCUCGCGGGUCCGCAUCAGCGUGUCGAAUUGAUCUUCCAGCACUUCGGUCUUCGAGGAAAACCGCCAGAUGGGUCUGCUGUGGGAGAAUUGCCUGCCUGUGUUCACGAAUACAUGGACAUAUACUCGGAGAUACGAUCGGAGAAUACGACCAAGCUGAUAGAAACGCCGUUUGGUGGACGGUUUUGCGGGCCAAUUCCACCUCGCCGACGAGUCUCUCUUUAUCAGGGAAUCGCGCUCAGUUUCUUCACCGACAAGAAUGUCACGUUUCCGAACAUCUUCAGUGGUGUCUACAGAUUCCUCAAUGCUUCCGAGUAUGAAGUGGGCGCACUGGAACCGAACACGCCGUGCACCUUCACGAUACGCGAGCAAGCGAAACGUACCGGGAACAUAUUGUCACCCACUUAUCCUGGCUCCUAUCCGAAGGACCUCGUUUGCAGCUACCAGUUCAUCGGGAAGCCAGGGCAACGUGUGCGAUUGGAAUUCCGCGACUUCGAUCUGUUCUUCGGCGGGCCGCAUUGUCCGUUGGAUUACGUGAAGGUGUACGACGGUCUUAAUAGUUCAAACGCCGUCAUCGGCACGUACUGCGGCCAGCAGCGAAAUUUGGUGUUGUACUCCUCGGAGAAUAGUUUGUUCGUGCUGUUCGUCACACUAAAGCGCACGGCGAACACGCAGAAUCGAGGAUUCAAAGGCAUUUUCGAGUUCUCGGAGAGUUUCGUUAGUUUGGACUUUAUAACGGAGUACCAUGGCGAGCAUAUCCGUGGAUCCGAGUGCGACCAAAAGAUUCUCAGCAAGAAGGAGACCUCGGGAUUCGUAGUUAGCCCAAAUUUUCCAUAUCCUUAUAUACCUAAGGUCGUCUGCCGCUAUUUUAUCUAUGGGAUGCAAGACUCGCAGCAUUUGGAACGGGUGCGACUGGAGUUUUCACAAUUCAUGAUACAGAUGCCGAAAGGAGAAGCAUCGUGCACCGAUGGCUAUCUGAAAUUGUAUCUGAAGGGGCAGGAAGCAACAGACUCUUACGACAAAUUCGAUUACGAGAUGUGUGGUAACAAAAGCAAUCCGAGCCAGGUAGUUAGCGACGGGCCCAGACUCGUGAUGGUGUUCAGCAGCGGGGAAUUGCAAGCGAAAGGCUUCAAAGCUAAGUACACCUUUGAGACGGAAUAUAAGAUACCGGGUACCGCGGCUCCCGACGGCACCUGCAGCUUUACCUACCGCAGUGACUCCCGCAAACGCGGAGAAUUCAAUUCGCCCCGGUAUCCGAGCAACUAUCCGAGCGACACGAAUUGCACGUACUUCUUCCUGGCGACGCCGAACGAGCAGGUCGCUUUAAUUUUCGAUCAUUUUAAAGUCCGAACGAAAAACAUCAAUGUCACAGUCGGGCAUUAUGGAUUCGAGCUUUGCCAGGACGACUGGUUGGAAAUUUACAACAUGUAUCGGGAUAAUACGGAGAAAUUGAUAGGAAGAUAUUGCGGCGGGACCGCGCCAGGCCCGGUGGAAUCGAAUCUCGGCGCUCUUGGUUUGAAAGUGAUUUUGCACUCCGAUUCCGAGCUUGUCUACAGUGGCUUCAAAGCGCGUUACACCUUCGAGGUCGCUAAACCUAUUUUUGGAGAUUGUGGAUCAAAUAUUAGUAGCUUAAAUUACGGUAUAAUAACCAGCCCGAAUUUCCCGAACAAAUAUGACGGUCCCAUGAAGAAUAUCGCCACGAAAACCUGCAACUGGUUCAUAAGGGUUCGGCCGAAUCACCAGAUCCUCUUAAACUUCGAGCUCUUUUCCGUGGAGGGCGAUCAAUUGGCACGGGGUUGCCCGGCGGCUGUCUUACGCAUGUGGUACUCGUUGACGUCCACUCCGAACGAGCUCUGCGGCGUUAAAACCACCGACGCUAACUGGGGUUUCCUCUCGGAGGAUAAUAAUAUGCGACUCAGCUUCAUAUCGGCGGACAAAGCGGUCGGGCAGCAGGGCUUCCGGGCGGUGUGGACCGAAGUGAGCACGGAUACGGACUGCCAAGAUCAAUUUCUGUGCACGAAAUCUAAGUACUGCAUCGCCGAAUCGCUGCGGUGCAAUAAUAUUGAUAAUUGCGGGCCGGAUGACGCGUCGGACGAGGAGAACUGUGCAGCAUCAGCCCCAUUGUCACCAGCACUGGCUGGGACCUCUUCUGCCAUGCUUCUUCUCUCUCUGUGCUUUGUAUUCGUGGCCGUCUGAGCCCCCUUCAUGAAGCUUCCAGACGAUCCGGCAUGUUAUGAUCUUCCCUUAUCACGCCUCGUAGCAGUUCCGGCAGACAGCUACGCAGUCCCGAUCGGCUAUGCAAUCGGCAGCAUCCUGGUAGCUCUGGUGCUUUGCCUGAUCUGCCACCGGAUGCUGAGGCGACGGGCGCGCGGCAUGCAGAUCGACG
This 3067-nucleotide unclassified non-coding RNA is filed under the name Ooceraea biroi (clonal raider ant). Its description in RNAcentral is "tolloid-like protein 2, transcript variant X4". The record is from RNAcentral. Lineage: Eukaryota; Metazoa; Arthropoda; Insecta; Hymenoptera; Formicidae.